Small nuclear RNA from Venturia canescens, 150 nucleotides. RefSeq annotates it as U12 minor spliceosomal RNA. Lineage: Eukaryota; Metazoa; Arthropoda; Insecta; Hymenoptera; Ichneumonidae. The record is from RefSeq and is a predicted model, not a curated record. The transcript has a single exon.
GUGCCUUAAACUAAUGAGUAAGGAAAAUAUAGAGCUUUGGUAACGCUUAGCUAUGCUCUUUUAAAGCGAACAUAUUUUUGAAGGGGCACAGGUCGUCCCAGAAGCUGCUUGAACUACUUUUUCGAGCGGCUCGGUGAAGCGAUCUACCUC